CUCACGAAGCCAAAAUUAAGGCGUUGGCAGGUUACACUCCUUUCUGGAGGCUCUAGGAACGGAUCUACGUCCAGCUCAAUGGCAGAAUUCAGUUCCAUACAAUUGCAGGGCUAAGGCCCCCAUUUGCUUGCUGGCUGUCAUCUGGGGGUCUUUCUCAGUUUCUAGAGGCCUGCUGCAUUUCUUGGCUUGUAGGCCUGAUGUCGUCUGGAGCGGUCUCUCCUGGGAGAACCUCCUAGAGUCAGGGAGGAUUAAAUGAGAUGGUUCCCGUAAAGCACUUCCACGGGGCCUGAAAAGCAAGCGCUCAAUACAUGUGCGCCUUUCUUCCUGGAUUCUGGGCUCCAGAGGACAGGCCCCGUCUUAUUUACCUUGUUAGACGCCAAGGGCUGCCGGAACAGCAUCUGACACUCACUUCCUAGUGCCGUUUAAGUGAGUACCAGCCCCUGGUGUGAUAGUCUGUAGAUAAUAAGCUUUUCACUCGCUAUUGAUAGAGUUCCUACACUGCAUUAUUCAUUACUUCAUUUAUUCAGAAGAUAGUUUUGUUUAUCAUAUGCCUCCUUCAGUGGUCCGCAAUGACAGCAACUUUGUUUCAUUCCCUGUCUGCAUGUCUAAAACAGAGCUUGGGAUGAUGGCGGGCACCCAGUUCUUAUUGGUUAAGUAAAAUGAAUUGUAGGGAACCCAGGAAGAGGAGCAGGGAGCUUGGGAAGUGUUGGUAGACCUGCAGCCGAGGAAAGUGAGCUUGAGAGACCUUAUGGUGGUAAAUGUGAAUGAAGUGGAAUGCCUUCAGCUCCAGGUCGCCCAUACCCGAUUCAGCCUGACUUAAGGAAUAUGCCAGUGUAUCAACUUGCAAAGCAAGGAGCCCAGUGGCAGGGCAGAGUGGGUAUUUUCUCUGAUCCAACAAUGUCAUUAGGAACCUGAGAUGUUCCCGUCUCACUGCUCUACUCUCCCCACCACUGACUUCAUAUACAAACCCAGUUCCCCUCAUGCCACAAAAUGGCUGCUAUGGCUAUUGACUGCUCUUCCCAUUCCACAGGCAAGGGUAAGACUGAUUUCUCUUUCCCAGAAGUCCUAAACAAACAUCUCAUUGAAUCUCCUUGGUCUAAUCUGGUUUAGGCCUUUUUAUGCCAGACAAAUUAUUGCCGAGGGGGAUAGAAUUACCAUGACUAGAUGAGAUUACAUUUGUGGAGUGGGUUAAAUGUUGGAGAGAAUACCAUGUCUACCAAAGAGUGAGGUGACUCUGGGAAUAGAAAGAGUGAGAAGAGGCUGGGUGCAGUGGCUCAAGCCUGUAAUCCAGCACUUUGAGAGGCCAAGGCAGGUGGAUUACCUGAGCUCAGGCGUUUGCGACCAGCCUGGGCAACACGAUGAAACCACCAUCUCUACUAAAAUACAAGAAAUUAGCCAGGCGAGGUGGCAGGCGCCUGUAGUCCCAGCUACUUGGGAGGCUGAGGCAGGAGAAUUACUUGAACCCAGGAGGCGGAGGUUGCAGUGAGCCGAGAUCACGCCACUGCACUCCAGCCCGGGUGACAGAGCGAGACUCUGUCUCAAAAAAAGAAAGAAAGAAAGAAAGAAAAGAAAGAAAGAAAGAAAGAGAAGAAAACGGGUAAGGACGGCACUCUCAGGAACACCAGCAUUUCUGGGACAGGCAGAGGAAGGAGAGAGUCUAAGAAGGAAACAGAAAGAAUCAUUAACGAGGAACUAAGAGAACAGGGAAUGGGUGGUGAAGGUUUUGGAAAAAUAGUGGGAAGGUUUCCCCAGCUCCCAGUCAUCCCACUAUUUCUGGGAUGCCCUGAAACAAUUGUGUCCCCUGUUGGCCAUGCCUGGAGUCCUUGACACUGCCACCUGGCCUUGACAGUUUGACCCAGGGCUAGUACUCUGACCUAGUGGUCAAAAUUAGUCCAAUGAUAGCUUCCCAUCUUCCACUGGACCA
Molecule: long non-coding RNA, 1924 nt
Filed under: Homo sapiens (human)
Lineage: Eukaryota; Metazoa; Chordata; Mammalia; Primates; Hominidae
Description: HSALNT0291459
Source: RNAcentral